This 235-nucleotide ribosomal RNA is filed under the name uncultured bacterium. RNAcentral describes it as "partial 16S ribosomal RNA". It matches the Rfam family "Bacterial small subunit ribosomal RNA", at positions 118 to 351 of the family's 1533-position model. The record is from RNAcentral.
UGAGGAACAUGACCUUCGGCGGGGGAUAGCCGGCCCAACGGCCGGGUAAUACCGCGUACGACCUUUUGGGGACAUCCCCGACUGGUGAAAGCAGCAAUGCGCCGAUGGAGUGCCUCGCGGCCUAUCAGCUAGUUGGUGGGGUAACGGCCUACCAAGGCAACGACGGGUAGCUGGUCUGAGAGGAUGGCCAGCCACAUUGGGACUGAGACACGGCCCAGACUCCUACGGGGGGCAG